AUGACUGUAGGUGAAAGCUUACAUCUCUUCGGAGGCACUUUUACGAGGUGCUGCAUGGUUGUCGUCAGCUCGUGCCGUGAGGUGUCGGGUUAAGUCCCAUAACGAGCGCAACCCUACCUUUAGUUGCCAUCAGGUAAUGCUGGGGACUCUAAAGGAACUGCCUACGCAAGUAGUGAGGAAGCGGGGAUGACGUCAAAUCAGCACGGCCCUUACGUCCAGGGCUACACACGUGCUACAAUGGCCGAUACAGAGGGCAGCUACCUGGUGACAGGAUGCAAAUCUCCAAAGUCGGUCUCAGUUCGGAUCGGAGUCUGCAACCCGACUCCGUGAAGUUGGAUUCGCUAGUAAUCGCGCAUCAGCCAUGGCGCGGUGAAUACGUUCCCGGGCCUU
This 390-nucleotide ribosomal RNA is filed under the name uncultured Sphingobacteriales bacterium. RNAcentral's name for it is "bacterial SSU rRNA". It matches the Rfam family "Bacterial small subunit ribosomal RNA", at positions 991 to 1382 of the family's 1533-position model. The record is from RNAcentral. Lineage: Bacteria; Pseudomonadati; Bacteroidota; Sphingobacteriia; Sphingobacteriales.